This 391-nucleotide unclassified non-coding RNA is filed under the name soil metagenome. RNAcentral's name for it is "partial contains 5.8S ribosomal RNA, internal transcribed spacer 2, and large subunit ribosomal RNA". The stretch from base 1 to 122 matches the Rfam family "5.8S ribosomal RNA", at positions 35 to 154 of the family's 154-position model. The record is from RNAcentral.
GAUGAAGAACGUAGCAAAAUGCGAUACUUGGUGUGAAUUGCAGAAUCCCGUGAACCAUCGAGUCUUUGAACGCAAGUUGCGCCCGAAGCCAUUAGGCCGAGGGCACGCCUGCCUGGGCGUCACACGUCGUUGCCCCCCCAUCUACUCCUUCGGGAUUGCGGGGGGCGGAUGAUGGCCUCCCGUGCGCCUCGUCGCGCGGUUGGCCUAAAUGCCAAGUCCUCGGCGACGCACGCCACGACAAUCGGUGGUUGCGAAACCUCGGUUGCCUGUCGUGUGCGGUCGUCGCGCAUCGAGGGCUCGAAAAAAUUGCCGGGCUUCGGCUCGACUUUCAACGCAACCCCAGGUCAGGCGGGGUUACCCGCUGAAUUUAAGCAUAUCAAUAAGCGGAGGA